This 256-nucleotide ribosomal RNA is filed under the name uncultured bacterium. Its description in RNAcentral is "partial 16S ribosomal RNA". It matches the Rfam family "Bacterial small subunit ribosomal RNA", at positions 74 to 334 of the family's 1533-position model. The record is from RNAcentral.
CAAUAUAAGUGAUGGCGACCGGCGCACGGGUGAGUAACACGUAUCCAACCUGCCGAUAACUCGGGGAUAGCCUUUCGAAAGAAAGAUUAAUACCCGAUAGUAUAAUAAAACCGCAUGGUUUAAUUAUUAAAGAAUUUCGGUUAUCGAUGGGGAUGCGUUCCAUUAGGUUGUUGGUGAGGUAACGGCUCACCAAGCCUUCGAUGGAUAGGGGUUCUGAGAGGAAGGUCCCCCACAUUGGAACUGAGACACGGUCCAA